CAUGCUUCGAUUACUGUGACAGAUAAUGUCAAGAACUUCUUUCCUGGCAGGGUAGAUUCUGAUGUGGACUAAAAUUGAUUUGUGUAGUUAUCGCCCUGUGGUCUGUGGAAAAGUAAACAUCGAGACCAAAAUAAUCUCUCUACCUAUGGACGCAGGAGUAGUGAAAGGAGAUGCACCACCCCUGGCCUUUGGCACUGUGUGUCAGGUUGGGGCCAUAGCCUUACUCUUGGGAGUGGGCAAACCCUAUCAUCAGGCCCCGUGCGGAGGGAGUCAUCUCCUCCACCGCCCAGGACUCUUUACACACGGAAGAAUACCACCUUUUGGCAGAGGCAAGAGCACUUCAUGUUAGUGACGCUUCAUGUGAUGGAGGAUAAAGGGACAACACUCUUCUCUCCUGGCGUCCGGUAAUUUUCAUCAUUUUAGAAUAAAAGGAAGGUGCCGUCAAGACAAACGAGGAGUUAUUCUUAGUUUUGGCAAGUCCUAAAACAGUGAUACGGGGGCUGAAGAGUUCACGUGGAGUAGAAAGUUAUUGCCAAGCUGCCAUGCCAUGAAGACACUCAAGCAGCCCUAUGAAAAGGUCCACUUGGGGAGGAACUGAGACCUCUUGCCAACAACCAUGUGAGUAACCCGUCUUGGAAGACGAUCCACCAACCCCAGUCAAGGCUUCAGAUGACUGUCACUCCAGCCAACAUCUUGACUACGACCUCAUGAGAGACUCUGUGCCAGAACCACCCAGCUAAGCUGCUCCUGAAUUCCUGACCCCCAGAAACUGAGAUAAUAAAUGUUUAUUAUUUUGAGCCACAA
This is a long non-coding RNA of Homo sapiens (human), 804 nucleotides long. RefSeq lists it as uncharacterized. NCBI's taxonomy places the organism in Eukaryota, Metazoa, Chordata, Mammalia, Primates, Hominidae. The transcript has 2 exons. The record is from RefSeq and is a predicted model, not a curated record.